UCCCAAAGUUUGAAGUUGACCAGGGAUGUGCUAGCACGUCUCCCUAUUUCACCUCCUUCACUUUCAGCAUGAUCAUUUUUCAAUCAAUCAUACGAAAAUGCCAUUUUUGAAAUAUCUAGUUUGUCGAUUAUUUUCAGACAUUUUGCUUUUUCGUUUUAACCCUUACCUCACGGGGUGGGACUGGAUUAUCUGAAAUAUUUUUAUUAAUUCAAAAUCUCAUACAGACUGUGGUCAUCCCGGAAGAAACAUCCUCAAAUAGGAAUUUAGACGGGGUCCCAAAUGAAGCGUCUCCGAGUGUGUAUGAUACUGUACUACAUUAGGGAGCAAGUCGGCGCUGGGUAAUCUUCUGUCCCUGAGACCCGCAGUUUCCCGUGCUGCCAGAAGCCGCCGAGGAGGAUAUCGCCUCUCUUGAACCGCCGGCAUGGAGGACAUUUACCAUGGCAACGACUAAUGCAGUAUAGAUGCAAGGACUGAGCCUUGUCCGCUGCUGCAAUAACACGGGAUGCAUUGAAGUCAGGUGAAAUGCCAUUGCGGCUGAUGUCACCACCAAGGAGUGCAUUUCAUAUCGUCGCUCUAUCGAGGGUAUAGUGUGUUUGCCCAUUGCUACAUCUAUCUAAUCUCCAGCUCUAAAAAAAAAAAAAAAAAAAAAAAAAAAAAACUAUAGAACCACUUCACACUUUCUAUUUUUUUUUUCUCACAGUCAGCAAGGUUGUCCUUUUUUUUUUUUUUGUUUGUUUCCUGUAUCAACCCAUAAUACCCUAUCGACAUAAUCCCUCAGGGUCAAAUGGAAUUCUUGCAUGUCCUCCCCUGAGAACUUGUCAAAUGUGGGUCCUAAAAUCUGUUUCCUACUCCUUCAAACGCUGGAUUACAACUGGACCUCUUUGAAAAGUCACUCCUAAAUGGAGAUUACUGUUUUUUCAAGGGAAGCAAGGCUCAGCGUGGUUUAUUGUCAAAGGUUCAGGUUACAUUAUUGUACCUGUCGGUACAUCUGAUUUGUGUUACUGGCAUCCAUCUGGACAUAAACAAAAGAGCACAAAACAGAAGACAAUUGAUUUGCAAAACAAAUGAUUCAUCAACAACAGAACAUAUUUAGGUUCGAAGUGAUUGAAUAAACUUGGGAGAGCCGUGUCAUAUUUAAAAAAAUAUAUUUAUAUAUCAGAGGCAGAGGGAUUGAAGUUCUGUUUUACCUUGCUUUUCAAAAAAGCUGAAACUUGUAGGAAUGUCUGUCCAAAACAAACAUUCCU
Hippocampus comes (tiger tail seahorse) is the source of this 1244-nucleotide long non-coding RNA. RefSeq lists it as uncharacterized. The record is from RefSeq and is a predicted model, not a curated record. The transcript is spliced from 3 exons. Lineage: Eukaryota; Metazoa; Chordata; Actinopteri; Syngnathiformes; Syngnathidae.